GUCCCUGGGGCGGCGGGGCGGGGGCGCAGGCCGGGGCGGCGGCGGGCCUGAGGGGCGCGGGCGGCGCGGCCUGGUGGCGGCGGGCGGACAACGACUAACGGGCGCGGGGCGCCAUGUUGGGCCGCGCCGGGCUGCACCUGUGCCGGCUGGGACGCCUUUGUUCCCCGCCGGCGCUGGCGGUCUUUGUGCGCGGGCGGGCGAAGCCGGGCGGGGGCGGGGGCGGGGGUCCUUGCCCUCCCGGCGGGGACACGCGCGGCAGCCGUUGGGCCCCGGCCCGUGGCGCGCAGGUGGAGCCCCAGGGUGGGCGCCGCGCCGCCGAGCCGACCUGACCGCAGGCCGCGAGUGCGGACCCCGCGACGGUCGGGGGAUAGCCGGGAGCAGGAGCGGGGGUUUAAAAUCUCGGCCUUUAACACACGCUGGCGUCGAGUCCGGCGGGAGGAACUGGGAUGGGUGUUCCCUGGGACCCGCACAGCCGGAGCUCCCUGGGCUCCCGAGAUCAGGACGGGCUCUGACGUUCGGGUGGAGAUGGGAUCCGAGUCGAGGUUCUGGUACUGGUCACUUUCAGCUGCCAGCAGUCUUCAGUUUUGGGUUGAUGGUUGGUAGAGUGAGAACUACUGCUCACUUCAGAGUUUGUGUAAGCUUUUGUGAAGAACUCCACUCUACUCAGUGGGGAAAUCCAGCUUUGUGAUUUCAACGUUUUGACGACUCAAUAUAAAACACGUGAAUUGAGCUGGGGAUUUAGCUCAGUGGUUCAGCUACCUCCCUCGCAAGCAGAAGGUCCCGAGUUCGAUCCCCGGUACCAAAAAACACAACAACAAAAAAACCAAAAAAAAAAACCACGUGAAGGUAGGUAGAAUUAGGCUUAACUAAGAAGUGCUGGUGAGAGAACAGAAAACAGUAAUAAAAUG
RNAcentral lists this long non-coding RNA (908 nucleotides) under Heterocephalus glaber (naked mole-rat). RNAcentral's name for it is "lncRNA (ENSHGLG00000044425.1)". The record is from RNAcentral. Lineage: Eukaryota; Metazoa; Chordata; Mammalia; Rodentia; Bathyergidae.